This 253-nucleotide ribosomal RNA is filed under the name uncultured bacterium. RNAcentral describes it as "partial 16S ribosomal RNA". It matches the Rfam family "Bacterial small subunit ribosomal RNA", at positions 524 to 776 of the family's 1533-position model. The record is from RNAcentral.
UACGUAGGGUCCGAGCGUUGUCCGGAAUUACUGGGCGUAAAGAGCUCGUAGGUGGUUUGUCGCGUUGUUCGUGAAAACUCACAGCUCAACUGUGGGCGUGCGGGCGAUACGGGCAGACUGGAGUACUGCAGGGGAGACUGGAAUUCCUGGUGUAGCGGUGGAAUGCGCAGAUAUCAGGAGGAACACCGGUGGCGAAGGCGGAUCUCUGGGCCGAUACUGACGCUGAGGAGCGAAAGCGUGGGGAGCGAACAGG